This 274-nucleotide ribosomal RNA is filed under the name uncultured bacterium. RNAcentral describes it as "partial 16S ribosomal RNA". It matches the Rfam family "Bacterial small subunit ribosomal RNA", at positions 523 to 796 of the family's 1533-position model. The record is from RNAcentral.
AUACGGAGGGUGCAAGCGUUGUUCGGAAUUACUGGGCGUAAAGCGCGUGUAGGCGGUCGGGCGAGUCGAAUGUGAAAUCCCCGGGCUCAACCCGGGAAUUGCAUCCGAAACUGCUCGGCUAGAGUCCCGGAGAGGAAGGCAGAAUUCCCAGUGUAGGGGUGAAAUCCGUAGAUAUUGGGAGGAAUACCAGUGGCGAAGGCGGCCUUCUGGACGGUGACUGACGCUGAGACGCGAAAGCGUGGGGAGCAAACAGGAUUAGAUACCCCGGUAGUCC